AUGAAAUUGAAGAAAAACUUAAGCUUGGUUCCAGUCGUGCCUAAAGCCGUAGACUCUGGCUGGUGGGAUAGUUUCUUCAAUCCAAGGUCUUUCUUUUCACUAAGCUCAGCCUCCAAUUACUCUGCUUUCUGUUUUUAGUGGAAUGCAUUCAGAUUACUUGUAGUUUUAACUAAAUUAUCUUUAUAUUUUGUUUAUUUUGGAAAAUCUAUGAUGCACAGACGUCUAGAAUAGGUGGUGGAUUUUGUUCUGUAAUGUUAAAUUCGGCAAUGAUGUUCAUAAUUAGAGCUCAAAACCUAUAAACUGUGCUUUUGUUUAGUUAGGCUGUUGGAAAAAUCGGCCUAGGCGGGUCUCUUUUUUUUUUCCUGACUUUAGCUAAAUUAUGAACUCGCUUCAAUUUCUGAUGGCCGCUAUACGAAAAUUGGUUUUUGAUUAUGUGUUUUGCAUCCUGAAAAGAGAGAGAUGUGGUUGAAAAGUUAUUACUAGAGGGAGCGGUAGAGAUUUUAGCCUAUAAAAGUAGUAUGUAAUUGUUAGGAAUCUGGUUUGGCCUAAGUUGGAUGAGUAGUUGGAAAUACUGACUGAAUCAGACUUGGGGAAUAUACAGACACAAACACAUAGUCGGGCUUUGCUUGUUGUCAUAGACUAUGAAGCCGCAAUCCACCUCUGGAAGGUUGACAAGUUUGACUUUGUUGUCUGCAUGAGUGCCUAUAUCGGCGUCGUUUUUGGCAGCCUUGAAAUUGGACUAAUCUUAGCUGUAUGUAUCAUUAUUGUGUGUGACAGUAACACUAUAUCUAACAACUUAAAACUACGCAUUAAAACUAAUAUUUCGUUUUACUUCUGUGCAGGUUGCAAUAUCUGUGAUCAGGGUACUUUUGUUUGUGGCAAGGCCAAGGACUUUUGUUCAAGGAAACCUUCCGAAUUCCAUGGUUUACAGAAAUGUUGAGCAGUAUCCCAAUGCAAGCAAUGUUCCUGGAAUUCUCAUACUUGAGAUUGAUGCUCCCAUUUACUUUGCAAAUACCAACUACUUAAGAGAAAGGUACUAAUUAAUUAAACCUGAGUAAGAACUAAAGAUCUGGGGCUUAAGAUAGAUAAUAGCAAGUACAGGGACUAAGGUUUUGUUGAGUUGUUCUUGAGGUGGUUAUACUAUCUUUUUGUUUUCUGGUCAUGUUUAUGUUCUAGUGAGCCAGAACUAAAGAUUUGGGGCUUAAGAUAGAUAAGUGGCUUAUCCAUGGGACUGGGAAAGAGACAUCCCACUUUGUUUGAGAGGGUUUGAAUCAGACAUUUGAUUUUAUGAUGAUCGCACAAAUUUUCAUUUACAAAUGGAUUGAAUAACUAGUGUAGUGCUUCAAGUUACCAGUCGCUUCUAACCAAGGUGCUUUCUGCUGGUGCCACCAUACUCAUUAAACAUAGAGACCUCUGUGUGUCAUCCGUUUGAUUCUAAUAAUUUCCAAAUGUUAAGUUGGUUAACUGGCCUAGCGUUUGAGCCAUAAAUUACUGAAACAGUCUCAUGAUGAAAGAAUUGAUUGCAUUCUCAUGAUAAUCUUCUCUGAUGUAUUUUGUUUCAUUUGUAGGCACAUAGGUUGGAGAGGACUUGA
Molecule: long non-coding RNA, 1592 nt
Filed under: Prunus dulcis (almond)
Lineage: Eukaryota; Viridiplantae; Streptophyta; Magnoliopsida; Rosales; Rosaceae
Description: sRNA ncRNA
Source: RNAcentral